Long non-coding RNA from Dreissena polymorpha, 2043 nucleotides. RefSeq lists it as uncharacterized. Lineage: Eukaryota; Metazoa; Mollusca; Bivalvia; Myida; Dreissenidae. The transcript is spliced from 3 exons. The record is from RefSeq and is a predicted model, not a curated record.
AGUCGUUAUAUAUUAUAUACGCAAAAACAUAGUUAUGUUACUGUGGUAACGCAUAAUAUUAAUUGCAAGAGUUGAUAAAAUUCCAGGUGUAGAAAUCUUGAACAUAUCAUGCAGGAUGCGAUACAGUAUUCCAGUUUCUGUUGAAAGUUCCUGAAAAAGGUGAAAGUUAAAGUAAUGCAUUUUAACAAAUUUCAUCAAACUUCUAAUUUGCCAAAUCUUAAGAUAUUUUUUCAAUACCCCACCAGUUUUUACCGACUUAAAACACAAUAAAAUCGAAAUUAAAUAAAAAAAUCCUACCAUAUAAGUAAUGAUGGGGCGAGUCGUUAUCUAUGUGGGGCGAGUCGUUAUACAUGUGGGGCGAGUCGUUAUAAAAGUGGGGCGAGUCGUUAUAAAAAGUGGGGCAGUCGUUAUGGGGCGAGUCGUUAAGGGGGCGAGUCGUUAGUAAACCCUGUCACUAUAUGUAGUGAACCAGUCUUCGGCUUAUAGGUUACAUUACACUAAAUCAUUGUGUAUCCCUCCGUGGUCCAUUCGAAAGUAGUGCCUAUUUCUAAAGAGUUCCUUUUCUCUUCUUGAAUAUAAGCCAUUUAACAAUGUGAGACAUGACUUUUGUGGUUAUUUGUAAUAUCCUGUAUGUGUCUGGAGUACUUUGAUGCCUUGGAUUGGAAGCUAACUUAAAAGAUGAACUUUUGAGGGUGUGUUUUCUAUUGUGUGGGGCUUUUGUCGAAAUUAGGAUUCCGAAACACGUUUUUCUACGGUGGGUUCAUUCGACAGCGAUUUACUUUCUUAGAAGUUGCGAGACGGUAUGUUUUUGAUUGCAAUUAUUGGAAGAUGACAGAUCCAUCUUUAAAAUGAUACCAGGUUCGGAAAAAUUGAUACGUCGGAAAGGCAAGAAAAAUGCUGUGAAAGUUGUCAGUUUUAUAAUGGGACCCUAUGGGAAUCGGAAUUAGUGUAAUAUAACCUUUAAAAAGCACAUUUACUGCAAUGUCAAGGUCACAUGGAUUCGUCUGCAAGCGAGACAAGUAGAAAAUGAAUUUUAAUGAAUGUUUUGAUGAUUUGGGUGCUAAAAUAGAUGAGAGGUGUCAAUAUUUUGGUCCAAAUGGAUGUUUUAGGUGGUUUUAGACGGUUCCGGAUGGGUGGGGGACCUGGUAUGGACAAGUAAGGGUAACAUUUCCAACAAAUCUUAAAUGUAAAUAUUAUUAUGUCCAUAGAUUGAAGUUUCAGGUGGAGAGCAAGAUGAAAAAUAUGCAAAAUUACAUGCAUGCAACCCAUUUAUGCCAUUUUUCUCUUUGUUUGUAGGCCUGACCGUUUGUCCUUGAGCCGUAGAUGGUCAACAAUCCGCUAGCUGUCUUGCUCUGACUGGUGCACUGGACAUGAUUUCAAUAGUCAGCCAGACCAUGAUUGAGCUUAAGGAUUGUGCUGCGGAUGCAGCCUGUGCAGUUCCGGGAGAAAGUCACUGUCUCGGGCAAUGCGGUCUGGUAUCAGGUCUGGAUGAUCCUUGCCUGACUGCGGGUUUGUGUACACCUCAAUCCGACUCUGUGUCCUGAACAGAGGCCGCAGUGGUGCAGCGCUUGUGGACGAUCCAUCAACAUCCUGAAAGGUCAACACUACACCAAGCUGGGAAAAUUGAUCCUGAUAGUCAUCCCCAGGUAGUGGAAUGAAUGUUCACUGAACUACAGAGGAAUCACACCCAUAUGACUUUCCUGCCACGACAUUAGUGUGGCCACUCGCGUAGGAAUUCCUUAGCAAACAUGCUCUUUUGCAUGGUGACUGUGGACAUUUUUGCAAAACUUACGCUUUCAACACUGGAUUUUAAAGAGAAUACUUAAUAAAAUGUCGCUAACAGGACUUAUUUAUAUGAGAGAGACUAUCUGGAUGCGCAUUAAGUGUCACUUUGUGUCGUAAGCUGUUGAAGGAGCGAUUUGCGCCUUUUUAAGUGUUAAUUUUGGGUAGCCGGCUUGUAUCAGCUUGAAAGCUGAAAAUUAUGCCUCUCAUCAUAAUAGCAUUAAUUUUUGUAAUUGCAAUGUGUAUGUUUAGAUUGUAAGU